Molecule: ribosomal RNA, 1342 nt
Filed under: Salmonella enterica subsp. enterica serovar Typhi str. CT18
Lineage: Bacteria; Pseudomonadati; Pseudomonadota; Gammaproteobacteria; Enterobacterales; Enterobacteriaceae
Description: bacterial SSU rRNA
Rfam family: Bacterial small subunit ribosomal RNA
Source: RNAcentral
GCCUCUUGCCAUCAGAUGUGCCCAGAUGGGAUUAGCUUGUUGGUGAGGUAACGGCUCACCAAGGCGACGAUCCCUAGCUGGUCUGAGAGGAUGACCAGCCACACUGGAACUGAGACACGGUCCAGACUCCUACGGGAGGCAGCAGUGGGGAAUAUUGCACAAUGGGCGCAAGCCUGAUGCAGCCAUGCCGCGUGUAUGAAGAAGGCCUUCGGGUUGUAAAGUACUUUCAGCGGGGAGGAAGGUGUUGUGGUUAAUAACCGCAGCAAUUGACGUUACCCGCAGAAGAAGCACCGGCUAACUCCGUGCCAGCAGCCGCGGUAAUACGGAGGGUGCAAGCGUUAAUCGGAAUUACUGGGCGUAAAGCGCACGCAGGCGGUCUGUCAAGUCGGAUGUGAAAUCCCCGGGCUCAACCUGGGAACUGCAUUCGAAACUGGCAGGCUUGAGUCUUGUAGAGGGGGGUAGAAUUCCAGGUGUAGCGGUGAAAUGCGUAGAGAUCUGGAGGAAUACCGGUGGCGAAGGCGGCCCCCUGGACAAAGACUGACGCUCAGGUGCGAAAGCGUGGGGAGCAAACAGGAUUAGAUACCCUGGUAGUCCACGCCGUAAACGAUGUCUACUUGGAGGUUGUGCCCUUGAGGCGUGGCUUCCGGAGCUAACGCGUUAAGUAGACCGCCUGGGGAGUACGGCCGCAAGGUUAAAACUCAAAUGAAUUGACGGGGGCCCGCACAAGCGGUGGAGCAUGUGGUUUAAUUCGAUGCAACGCGAAGAACCUUACCUGGUCUUGACAUCCACAGAACUUUCCAGAGAUGGAUUGGUGCCUUCGGGAACUGUGAGACAGGUGCUGCAUGGCUGUCGUCAGCUCGUGUUGUGAAAUGUUGGGUUAAGUCCCGCAACGAGCGCAACCCUUAUCCUUUGUUGCCAGCGGUCCGGCCGGGAACUCAAAGGAGACUGCCAGUGAUAAACUGGAGGAAGGUGGGGAUGACGUCAAGUCAUCAUGGCCCUUACGACCAGGGCUACACACGUGCUACAAUGGCGCAUACAAAGAGAAGCGACCUCGCGAGAGUAAGCGGACCUCAUAAAGUGCGUCGUAGUCCGGAUUGGAGUCUGCAACUCGACUCCAUGAAGUCGGAAUCGCUAGUAAUCGUGGAUCAGAAUGCCACGGUGAAUACGUUCCCGGGCCUUGUACACACCGCCCGUCACACCAUGGGAGUGGGUUGCAAAAGAAGUAGGUAGCUUAACCUUCGGGGGGGCGCUUACCACUUUGUGAUUCAUGACUGGGGUGAAGUCGUAACAAGGUAACCGUAGGGGAACCUGCGGUUGGAUCACCUCCUUACCUUAAAGAAGC